This is a long non-coding RNA of Harpia harpyja (harpy eagle), 1098 nucleotides long. RefSeq lists it as uncharacterized. Lineage: Eukaryota; Metazoa; Chordata; Aves; Accipitriformes; Accipitridae. The record is from RefSeq and is a predicted model, not a curated record. The transcript is spliced from 3 exons.
CAUGAAAGGAGGAAAAAGGCAGUCAUUUAACAAGAGCUGAUUGGGAAUGAGAGGAGGUAGGAGAUAGCAAGUGGCAGGAAGUUACAGCCCAGUGUUGCUUUAGACAGUAAUACAACACAUUCUUUACAUUGUUUUUGACUUCAAGCAAGUUUUCUUGUCUGUAUUUCACCAAUUUGUUUGCAACCAUGAAGCUGUAAGGUUACAUAUAGGAAAGCCAGACUGUGAAACAGCUUGACUUUCAGAAAUCAACCGUGGAGAGAUUAUGAAAAGUGGAUGUAAUGCAAAACUGAAAUAACACGAAAAAAGAACUCCUAAGAAACAAUGUGAAACCUGUGGUGCCAUUACCCAUGGUGGCUACACUGGAGCUGCAGCAGUUUGCCACAUGGAGGAUACAGCCCACAACUUUUAACUUGGCAUAUAAACUCCCCUCCAGGAAAGAAAUCAUGCAGGCAUUUCACAUAGUUUUGAGACAGUGAAUGCAGAUGGCACUGCUUUUUACCAAUGGCGAAGUGUCCAGAGCAGUCUGUGACAUGGAGGAUGCAGAUCUGAUGCCUCCCUCAGGUCAUAGGAGCUGUGGUUUGAACAUUCUGAAGCAAAGAAGAGCUCCCUGCUCAUGCGGCCUAGGAAGUAUUGAGAUGGAUCUGUUCUCAAGCCCUUGGCCUGAUGCUGCUUUGUUACGGAAGCUGGUCAUGUUCACCGCCAGGUUGGAAAGUCUUUCUGUCCCAGUAGCUGUCAAUGCAUUUUGAGCAGAGUAGGUUAAGCGUGAAUAAACAGAGGUCCUUCCUUCGAAUUUGCCUGCCCCAGUGGUAGGACACUGAUGCGACAGCAUCCUCAAGCACCUUGAAGGCAAAGCUGCAAGAGUCUGCCACUGGCAAUCCAUGCUCAAAGAGAAGUGGCAGAGAGAAUGAUGGGAGAUGAGAAGUAAAAAACACAUGUGAAAGGAAGAUAACAGUAAUCUAGCUUGAGUAUAUAUCCAAAAGUGCCAAACCUAUACACUGUCUUUAGCAGUCAAAGAACUUCCAUGUUUUAUUAAUAGACUCAAAACUUUUCCUCAUGGUAUUGUACUUACAGUGUAACUGAUGCCAAGCCAAUAAGAAC